AUCUUUAAAUUAUUAAACAUUACAUGGCGCCCGAUUACUGAGGUCUAAAGGUUCAGGGUACGCUCCCGGUCUUCGGUCUUUUGCUCGAGGAUCGGCUGGUCAUUCGUUGUAAUUUUUUUUGUAACGUGUAAAAAGAACAAAUUGUGUGGUGGUGGUGUUUCUUCAUUUACCCCCUAGUAAAUAAGAUUUAUCGUGUUCAUAUUGAUGUGUGCUUUAAACGAAACAAGUUAAUUUACAUAUACCUACAAACUAUUUUGUAUAACUGUGUUUUUAAAUCUACAUUUGCAUUAUAUAUUAUUUCUUUUGCUUUGCAUACUUUUAAAGUUUGGACUUUGAACUCGUAUAGCAUUUUAUAACAUUUCAUUAAAAAAUUAUACUGCGUUGCAGCUUUUUUGCUGUAUAAUUAAACUUCUUAAAUUGUUUCUUAAAAUUUUGAGCUUACUUUUUUGUUUUUAUCACAAAUUUGCUUUUAUAAAACAAAACAUUAUAUACCCUACAAAGGUUUUUUUUGAAUGUAACUUUAAAUUUUUAACAUUCUUGAGUAAAAUUAUUAUUGUUGCUAGUUUACUGCUUAGCUUUGCUAUACAGUUUUUUUUCUUCAAAAUUUUAUGAAACUUGGUGUGAGUUUAGAAUUAUAUUUUUGAUUUAUACCCUCAAGGUUUAUUUACAAUUUGUAAAUUCUUUCAAAUUAUGCAACAAUUUAUAAAAUCAUUUCGGCCAAAUUUCAAUUAAACAUUUAACUUGCUGUCUAGUGAAAUUAUAGUUCUUGGUUGUAUAACCACGGCUAUACAUAAGUACCUACAUGCUUGUUGUUUAUGUUGCAUUCCUUUUGAGCUCAUAGCAAAUAAACUGGUUCUGUUUUUUUACACGCUCGUUAGUAUUACGUGUACAAUCUUUUAUUGUUGAGCUAUUGUUUGCUUAAUAGUUUUGUAUUCUAUUACCGGAUAAAUUCUAAUAAGUAAAUCUUUUGAAUUGGAUUAAAUACGUUAAAUAAACAACAUUUAUGCAUUGUUAGUUUUAUAAAUAACUAUAUAUAUUUUUUUUUACAUUUGCAUUUUGUUUAUUUGCAUUUAUUUUUACUUUUCAAGUAGGUAUUUAGUUAAUGAAAAUAUUCUUUGAUUAUUUUUUCUUUAAAACUUAGUAAGUACUUAGUUAAAUCUUUGUUAAAGUACAUUGGUCAUUCAUUUUUUUUAAUCAUGGCGUUGGAAGAACGUCCAAUUAAAUUUCAUCUAUUACGUAAAGAUGAAAUAAUUUACGAGUUAUUAUUUCGUGGUGCAGGGCCACCACUUGUACUAUACAUCUUCACAUUUUGAAGGUGUGGGUACACCGGCAGCGUUGGGGAAUCAUUUAGGUUAGUUGUCUUUUAGGUUAGUUGUUGUAGGAGCCGAUUUACUGGUGGACGCGCGGCCGCUGUGGGGCUCGCCGCGCCGCCACUGACAAAUUGUGGCCUAUUAUAUUGUUGACGGUGGACGUGUGGGCAUUCCCUAGGUUCCCCACACUGCCACUGUCGACAUAUCCAGUUAUUUUUAUUAUUUCUUUUUUAUUUUUUUUCUUCUUUAUAACUUUAUUCCCGAGCAGCUUGCGGGUGGACGCGCGGCCACACCGGCGGCACGCCGCGCCGCCAUCAACAAGUUGGGUCGUUUUUUUUUUAUAUCUUUUUUUAUUAUUUUUUUUGUUUCGCGUUAGGUAGGGAUUAGUACCUAAUCGUGUGGUUUGUUGAUGGUUGGGGUCGAGCACUCACCAAUAGUAAGGUGAGGUCACUUCUCCACCAUUUUGAGAUGUUGAGGGAGUGGUAGUUGUGACUGAUGGCUGUUGAGUCAUUAGUGUUUAUUGAUGGUUGGGGUCGAGCACUCGCCAAUUGUAAGGUGAGGUCACUUCUCCACCAUUUUGAGAUGUUGAGGGAGUGGUAGUUGUGACUGAUGGCUGUUGAGUCAUUAGUGUUUAUUGAUGGUUGGGGUCGAGCACUCGCCAAUUGUAAGGUGAGGUCACUUCUCCACCAUUUUGAGAUGUCGAGAGAGUGGUAGUUGUGACUGAUGGCUGUUGAAGUCAUUAGUGUUUGUUGAUGGUUGGGGUCGAGCACUCGCCAAUUGUAAGGUGAGGUCACUUCCCCACCAUUUUAAGAUGUUGAGGGAGUGGUGGUUGUGACUGAUGGCUUUUGAAGCCGUUAGUGUUCGUUGGUGGACGUAGUUAUUGCUACGGACACGUAUUAUUGUUGUAAUGAGUCAUUGCGACUUGCUUACCGACAUGUUUUUGGCGCUCGUAUGCGCGCUAUUGAUGCGAUUUCUUGGAUGCGAAGUAUUUCUUGGAUGCGAAGUAUUUCUUGGAUGCGAAGUAUUUUUUGGAUGCGAAGUAUUUUUGGAUGCGAAGAAUUUCUUGGAUGCUAUCAGAUGUUGUUGUGCUCAUGGUGAGCACAGGUGGUAUAUGUGCCGUCUCGGCAAGUUUUUACGUUGCGCGGCGUCCGCCGGCAAUGGCAUUUCUGCCUUUAUUUUUUUUCUAUUCUUUUUAAGUUUAUCUUUUUACUGUUUGUACCGAAUGGCAUUUUUUGCCUUUAUUUAUUUUCAUUGAUAUGGUUUUACUUUUUUUAUUUUAAAUUAUUUCUCUUUUAAGUUAAACUUGAA
Long non-coding RNA from Pectinophora gossypiella (pink bollworm), 2618 nucleotides. RefSeq lists it as uncharacterized. The record is from RefSeq and is a predicted model, not a curated record. The transcript is spliced from 2 exons. NCBI's taxonomy places the organism in Eukaryota, Metazoa, Arthropoda, Insecta, Lepidoptera, Gelechiidae.